Molecule: ribosomal RNA, 402 nt
Rfam family: Bacterial small subunit ribosomal RNA
UGGGGAAUAUUGCGCAAUGGGGGAAACCCUGACGCAGCAACGCCGCGUGAAGGACGAAUGCCUUCGGGUUGUAAACUUCAACAAGCAGGGAAGAAUAAUGACGGUACCUGACUGGAAGCCACGGCUAACUACGUGCCAGCAGCCGCGGUAAUACGUAGGUGGCAAGCGUUGUCCGGAUUUACUGGGUGUAAAGGGCGUGUAGGCGGGUGCAUAAGUCAGUGGUGAAAUACCGAAGCUCAACUUCGGGGCUGCCAUUGAAACUGUGCAUCUUGAGUGCAGGAGAGGAAAGCGGAAUUCCUAGUGUAGCGGUGAAAUGCGUAGAUAUUAGGAGGAACACCAGUGGCGAAGGCGGCUUUCUGGACUGUAACUGACGCUGAGGCGCGAAAGCGUGGGUAGCAAACA